Molecule: ribosomal RNA, 484 nt
Filed under: uncultured bacterium
Lineage: Bacteria
Description: partial 16S ribosomal RNA
Rfam family: Bacterial small subunit ribosomal RNA
Source: RNAcentral
AUUGAACGCUGGCGGCAGGCUUAACACAUGCAAGUCGAGCGGAUGAAGGGAGCUUGCUCCUGGAUUCAGCGGCGGACGGGUGAGUAAUGCCUAGGAAUCUGCCUGGUAGUGGGGGAUAACGUCCGGAAACGGGCGCUAAUACCGCAUACGUCCUGAGGGAGAAAGUGGGGGAUCUUCGGACCUCACGCUAUCAGAUGAGCCUAGGUCGGAUUAGCUAGUUGGUGGGGUAAAGGCCUACCAAGGCGACGAUCCGUAACUGGUCUGAGAGGAUGAUCAGUCACACUGGAACUGAGACACGGUCCAGACUCCUACGGGAGGCAGCAGUGGGGAAUAUUGGACAAUGGGCGAAAGCCUGAUCCAGCCAUGCCGCGUGUGUGAAGAAGGUCUUCGGAUUGUAAAGCACUUUAAGUUGGGAGGAAGGGCAGUAAGUUAAUACCUUGCUGUUUUGACGUUACCAACAGGAUAAGCACCGGCUAACUUCGUG